AUAAAGCUAGACAACCGAACGUA
This 23-nucleotide microRNA is filed under the name Xenopus laevis (African clawed frog). Its description in RNAcentral is "Xla-Mir-9-P4d_3p (mature (co-guide))". Lineage: Eukaryota; Metazoa; Chordata; Amphibia; Anura; Pipidae. The record is from RNAcentral. RNAcentral also lists the same sequence under 1 other name.